GAUGAACGCUGGCGGCGUGCCUAAUACAUGCAAGUCGAGCGAACAGAUGAGGAGCUUGCUCCUCUGACGUUAGCGGCGGACGGGUGAGUACCACGUGGUUAACCUACCUAUAAGACUGGGAUAACUUCGGGAAACCGGAGCUAAUACCGGAUAAUUUAUUGAACCGCAUGGUUCAAUAGUGAAAGUCGGUUUUGCUUUCACUUAUAGAUGGAUCCGCGCCGCAUUAGCUAGUUGGUAAGGUAACGGCUUACCAAGGCAACGAUUCGUAGCCGACCUGAAAGGGAGGAUGGCCGCACGGGAACUGAGACACAGUCCACACUCCUACGGGGAGCAGCAGUAGAGAAUCUUCCGCGAGGGACGAAAGCCUGACAGAGCAACGCCGCGUGAGUGAUGAAGCUCUUCGGAUGGUAAAACUAUGUUAUUAGGAAAGAACAAAUGUGUAAGUAACUAGGCACGUCUUGACAGUACCUAGUCAGAAAGCCACGGCUAACUACGUG
RNAcentral lists this ribosomal RNA (497 nucleotides) under uncultured bacterium. Its description in RNAcentral is "partial 16S ribosomal RNA". It matches the Rfam family "Bacterial small subunit ribosomal RNA", at positions 28 to 507 of the family's 1533-position model. The record is from RNAcentral.